UUUCUCACUCUUGGAACACGCCCCUUCCAUCCCCGCCCCGGGGACUCUGUGGUCGCAGCUGCUGGAAGUUCUCAGUUCCAAGCCCUUGGGCCUAGAACCUAUGCCACCUGCCUUAAAAUUCCUGAUAGUAAUUAAGCACAGAAUUCUAAGACAUUGGUUGAGUCAUAGUGAGUGAGGCAAUAACCUCGCCUGUGUAGGAUAUAUUGGAGGCUGACUGCCUCUGUGCCUUGAUAAAACGUGUAAAUUUGAAAUGGCUGGUACUUAGAAAAUCCUAAGACUGUAACAGGUAUUUUCUUCAUCCCAUUUUUGCAAAUUUAAUUUUACCUACCCCUCAAGAAUAUGCACACUACUUAAUGCUCAAGUCAGAGCACUUCCAUAAAGCUGGACUGAGAUCUCUACCAUGUGAAUUUCCUGAAACCAACUUGGCAGCAACAAAAUUAAUGACUUAUUAUCAAACCUUAAUUGUAUUUAUUUUCCUUUCCCCCCCAAAUUUUCCUGCCAAAUAAAGGGACAACCAUCAUCACCCAAUUUAUAACAAAUCCCAUGCAAAGAACAAUUCUCCAUUUUGAAGCUCUCAACUCCUAAUCUGCCUGAAACAUCUUUAAAAGCCAAAAGUUAAAUAAUUUAGAGAGGGGAAUGUUAAAUCUCCCACUGUUAAGAUUUAUUUAUUUAACAGGUAGGAGGGACAGAACAAAUGGCCAGAACAGCAAAGGAUGGGCAAGGCUGAAGCCAGGAGCCAGGAAUUUCAACUGGGUCUCCCACCUGGAUAACAAGAACUCAAGUACUCAAGCCAUCAUCCACUGCUUCCUAGUUGCAUAAAUGGGUAUUGGGAUGGAAGCUGAGUAGCUGGGACCCCAGUUGGCACUCUAGGGAGGGAUGUGGGCAUCCCAGGUAGCAGCUUAACCUGCUGUGCCACAAUGCCCACCCCUCAGCAUGCAUUUUAUCCUAACAAAAGCAUGGCACUACCCAAUGCCUGUUCAUGAUUGUUCCUUUACAGAUGCUAUUAAAUGUAAUGUUGGUCACAGUUGUGCUGAGAGAUCACUUUGAUGUUACAACAGUCAUGCAGAGACAGCUUGGAGUGGGUAACUAUAUGCCCUGCUCUGAACAGGACCAAGAGAGAACGACACCAGGCUUUAUCGCAUUCCUAAUUCUGCCUGUGAUUCACUGUGUAAACUGACAGUGCUGCUUCCUCAGGGUGGUUGUCAAAGUCACAGCACGAUCACAGGAGGUGUUCAUAAGACGUUGGCACAAGUCACUGACAGAUUAGCUGGAAGCUUGUUGUGAUUCUCCUCAGGGAUUUCAGGAAUAGCUAACUCUUCAAGCUAAUUAGUCCUGCGUGGUUGAGAUGGAUGAUCUGGAAAAAAAAAAGGCAAUUGAAAAUGAUACAGUUAUUUAGCAAUACAAAAGUGUAAAUAAUAGAAAAAUCAAGAAAUGAAGCAAACACAUUUAGAAACAUUUGGAUCAACUAGAUGAAUAGGUCAGCAGAUGGAAAAUUCAAUUUCAAAGUAGACAAAGAAAAGUAUAAUGUGUUUGGGAGCAGAAAUCCAAGUUAGUUAAUGUUAAACAAUGCAAUUGUCAAU
Non-coding RNA from Oryctolagus cuniculus (rabbit), 1580 nucleotides. The record is from RefSeq and is a predicted model, not a curated record. NCBI's taxonomy places the organism in Eukaryota, Metazoa, Chordata, Mammalia, Lagomorpha, Leporidae.